RNAcentral lists this ribosomal RNA (605 nucleotides) under uncultured bacterium. RNAcentral describes it as "bacterial SSU rRNA". It matches the Rfam family "Bacterial small subunit ribosomal RNA", at positions 202 to 827 of the family's 1533-position model. The record is from RNAcentral.
AAAAACUCCGGUGGUACAGGAUGGUCCCGCGUCUGAUUAGCCAGUUGGCAGGGUAACGGCCUACCAAAGCGACGAUCAGUAGCCGGCCUGAGAGGGUGAACGGCCACAUUGGGACUGAGACACGGCCCAAACUCCUACGGGAGGCAGCAGUGGGGAAUAUUGCACAAUGGGGGAAACCCUGAUGCAGCGACGCCGCGUGAGUGAAGAAGUAUUUCGGUAUGUAAAGCUCUAUCAGCAGGGAAGAAAAUGACGGUACCUGACUAAGAAGCCCCGGCUAACUACGUGCCAGCAGCCGCGGUAAUACGUAGGGGGCAAGCGUUAUCCGGAUUUACUGGGUGUAAAGGGAGCGUAGACGGCAUGACAAGCCAGAUGUGAAAACCCAGGGCUCAACCCUGGGACUGCAUUUGGAACUGCCAGGCUGGAGUGCAGGAGAGGUAAGCGGAAUUCCUAGUGUAGCGGUGAAAUGCGUAGAUAUUAGGAGGAACACCAGUGGCGAAGGCGGCUUACUGGACUGUAACUGACGUUGAGGCUCGAAAGCGUGGGGAGCAAACAGGAUUAGAUACCCUGGUAGUCCACGCGGUAAACGAUGAUUGCUAGGUGUAGGU